This 8982-nucleotide long non-coding RNA is filed under the name Homo sapiens (human). Its description in RNAcentral is "non-protein coding lnc-SNAP25-1:8". The record is from RNAcentral. Lineage: Eukaryota; Metazoa; Chordata; Mammalia; Primates; Hominidae.
AAUCUGCCACCGCUGCCACCGAGCCGAGGGGCGCCAGCAAGGCAUCCCCUGGGUCAAGGGGCCUCCCGUGGGCUUUCCAAACAGCCUGUGCUCAUUUCCGCGGGAGCCCUCGGGGCGCUGUGCUGUGGCUGCAUUGUCACUGUUUGUUUAUUUCUACAUCUGCUCUGUUAGAAGAUAGGCUCGCUUAGGACAGAGCCUUCUAAUCCACCCCCUGAUGAAUUCGGGCCCUCGCCUUUGGCACAAUGCCUGGCGUCAUCACAACGCGGGUGAUCAGUAAACGGCAGCGAAGGAAGCGGGGUCAGGACUGGAGAGGAGAGGGGGAGGAAGACAGACGACCGGAGAGGAACAAAAAUGGAAGGCAGUGUUUCAAGAACCCAGCUCCAUUCAUCCUAUGAUGCCACCAUCCUCAGCAUUUGACUUCCAUGGCUCCUGUAAGAGAAGAGAACAUGAAGAACAAAACAGGAGGUUUUUAUGGGAGGCAUGUCAAUUUGACCAGAUACUUUGCCCAGAACCUUGUCACAUGGCCUCUGCCUAAAUGACAAUGAGGCUAGUGGCUGGGUGUGGUGGCUCAUGCUUGUAAUCUCAGCACUUUGGGAGGCUGAGCCAGGAGGGUCUCUUGAGCCUAGGAAUUCAAGAUCAGCCUGGGCAACAUAGGGAGACUUCGUCGCUACAAAAAAAAAUAAAUUAAAAAUUAGCUGGGCAUAGUGGCACAUGCCUGUAGUCUCAGCUAGUUGGGAGGCUGAAGUGGGAAGAUCACUUGAGCUGGGAGGUUGAGGCUGCAGUGAGCCGAGAUCACGCCACUGCACUCUAGCCUGAAUGACAAAGUGAGACCCUAUCUCAAAGAAAAAACAAAAAAUGAGUCUGGGUAACGUAGCCUGUGAGACCAGAAAGAAGCAUCAGGAUUGGCGAGUAUUAAUACCAUCUCUACCAUAAACAUUUUUGGAAAUAUUUCUUUUUUUUUUUUAGAGAAAGGGUCUUGCUGUGUUGCCCAGGCUGGUCUCAAACUCCUAGCCUCAAGCAAUCUUCCCAACAUAGCCUCCAAAAGUGCUGGGAUUACAGGCAUGAGCCAACAAGCCUGGCCCUAGAAAUAUUUCUUUCUCUAAAUUCAAAGUAACUAGGGGGAAUAUUAAUCUCAUUCUAAAUAUUUUAUUUUGUCACUCCCUAUCCUUUGUUUUCAAACACCUCACACUACUAUUAUGUGUUAUCACGAGUCAACUGUUUACAUGUCUAUCUCCAGCUGUUGGUUGGGAGCUCACUGAAAAAGGAAACCUUUGUAAUUCAUUUUUGUAUCCUGAGGGCUUAGCACAGAGGCUGGCACCUGUUAGACCUAAGAAGGAUUGGCAACUCUGGACAAAUCAGAGAAGGAGCGUUGUCAACCCUUUUCUCCUGGUGAUGAUGAUGGUGAUGGUCAAUGUCCACUCCCAAAUAUCUAUAUUGGGAAGAGGUGGUUUGUAGGAUAUGCUGCCAAGAGAAUUUUUUUCUUUAAGAACAAAUAAACUAAAGAAAUUAACAUCCAGCUUGCUGAGUCACUUGCUUUCCACUUGAAUUUUAACUACAAGGAUCUGAAGACAGCCUGUGUUAGGCAGAGAAAGAAAGAGACAGAGAAAGAGUCAGGGAGAAGAGAGGAAGAGAGAUGUAGCUGGAGAGUCAGGGAGAAAUUCAAAGAGAUGGAGAGAGAGACUGGUUCUGGAAAGAAAAGAUAAGUUAAAUAGAAAAAGGAAAGUAAUCUUUGAAAGGUUUGUUUAAGACAUGUAUUUUCUUACUCUGUAGUGGGAGCGCUGAAUAAAAAUAUUUAAAUAAAAGCUGUAAUGUGAUUAAGGUUUGAGUUGGGGUUUAAUCGUGGAAAGAGCAAGGUAUUUAGAGUGAAAGAUCUAACUUUUGUAUUUAUUUUUCAUUUUUUAGUGUUUUCGCUUUUUUAAUCCCAGGUCCUCUACCAUUGACUAUCUGAUGUUAACAAAAUCAGUUCGCUUUUGUGUCUUGGUUUCCUCAUCUAUGAAAAGGGAAUAGAAAAACUUACCACAUAAGUUGGUAGGGAAGACACAAUUCUAUAAAAUAUAUUGGAUGAUCUGUGAAACCACCUGACACCAAAAGGGAAUAAUAAAUUCCCUUCUCUCUUCUUUUUCUACACCAUCUCUUUUUAAUUCUACCAGAAAGUUCCUUUCUCUAUGAGGCUUCUUGAAGACUGGCUGUAUACAGGAAAACUGUAUUUCUAAUUCUGCUAUUUAUUGGAAUACUAGGUCAAGUUUUUCCUCCUUCUUAUUCUAUUUAAUCUUCACAAUAACCCUACAUGAGUUUAUCUUCAUUUUACAGAGAAAACAGAGGCUUACAGAGGUUAAAAAAAAAUUCCCAAAUCCACACAGAUAGUCUUUUAGUAAUCUAUUGCCAUAAUAAUACAGUAUUGAAAUUUCCCCCAAAUUCGGCAGCUCACAACAACCAUUUUGUGUGACUCAUCAACCUGUGGGUCAACUUGGCCGUUCUGCUGGUUGAAGCUGGCCUCAGCAGGACACACUCCUGCAACUAUAGUCAUCUGGGCUUUGGCAAAUCCCUUUAGUCUAUAGCCAAAGAGCAAUAAGUGAGCAGCAAGAAACUGAAUUAUCUCUGACCCUUUUAUUAAAUAAAAUGCUGAUCUUGGGCCAGCUAACUAACCUUCCAGAACCCCAUGCCAAGGCUUUCCUUUGGUCCAGUGCCUUAAACCCAUGCAGUCCUGGGGUAGAGAAAUGAGGAAGCCCAUAAUUCUGGCAGAAAGGCUGCCUCUCAUUCCCAAAUACCCCUGAGAGAGAUGAAUGAUAGCAGGAUGGAGCCUGCCAAGGGCACACAGACAGGGCAUACAGAAUCGUCCAACCUCUCACCAAUUCAAGGGCAGGGCAAUUAAGAGGCCAGAACUCACCACAGCUAGAAAUUAUUUACGUUAAUGCUUUAGCACAAUGUGGUCCACUAACCAGCAACAUCAGCAUCACAUGGGAGUUUGUUAGCAAUGUUGACUUUUGAACUCCAUUCCAGACCCACUAAAUCAGAAUCUGAGAAGCACAGGUUCAGCAAGAAUCGCACCAGGAGUAUACCACUGGAAAAGCAUGUGUAGCCAGAUUUACUGUAUUAGAUGAAUUAACGCUUCAAGGCCCAGCACCUUACUGAGUUUCUGACCUCCCACCCAAGCACUCAAUACUUUCCCCUGUCAAUUGGCCCUGCUCUCUGGGAUGAGUGCCUGGUAUUUUUGCUUGCUCCGUAUGCAUUUCCUUCUUGUUUGCCUCAUUCUGAUUUUUCCUUGAAAGGAGUUUCCUUCCCCACUCCUAGUCGAUGUGUGUCAGGUUGACUUAUCAUGGCUUCUGGGAAUGAAUAUAUGACCCAGGUCUGACCAAUUAAAAAAAGUAGGGAUUUUGCUGGAACGAUUGGAAAAGUGGCAUGUUCUUUUCUGCUGUUGAUGAUAAUUGGCUGAGUCUAUCUGAGAAUGAAAUCAACACAGAGAUGAUGAGAGAUAAGUUCCUGAUGACAUUGUUUGAGCACCUAAAUCCAGCCUUGCUUGAAACUAUAGAUCUGAUUCCAGAUUUUUUAACUGCAUACGCCAAUACAUUUCCUUUUAUGCCUAAGUUAUUGUGGUCUGGUUUCUAUAAUUUGCAAGCAAAAUGGUCCUGGUCUGCAAAGCCACCCUAUGUUGUAAGCUUGAUGCCCCCCUCACAAGUUUUUGCCUCAACUUCCUGUCUCUCUUCUGUUUCCAAUCACCUGUGACAGUCAUUUUCCAAUUUCCAAAUUACGAAAUUUUUACAUAUUAUAUUUGCUGUCAUAACACAAGUGGGAAUUGACCCCAGAGACUUGGGAUAGACACAAUUCUUCAAUAACAUAGAAUAGGCCUGAAGUGCUCAGUUCUGUCUAGAAGCUCACUACUCAAAUAUAUACUGUGGGGGAAAGUAACCGCCUGAUGGUUAAAAGGCUGGCCCCGUAUUUCCUCCUCUUCCUCAGUUUCCUCAUUCAUGAAAUCAGCAGACAUUUUGGAGAUUUACUUCAGCCCAGACUUUCUAAGACACUCAUAGUUAGGGGUUCCUGGUUUAAAUAGAUUGCGACAACUUAACAUGCAGCUUAACAUGAAACACAGAUGGCAGAAAAAUAAAAAGGUGCCUCUAUCAGUUACAAAGAAAUUGGUUGGGCGCAGUGGCCCACGCCUGUAAUCCCAGCACUUUGGGAGGCCGAGGCGGGUGGAUCACCUGAGGUCAGGAGUUGGAGACGAGCCUGGCCAACAUGGUGAAACCCCAUCUCUACUAAAAGUACAAAAAUUUGCCCGGUGUGGUGGUGGGCGCCUGUAAUUCCAGCUACUCAGGAGGCUGAGGCAGGAGAAUCACUUGAAUCCAGGAAGUGGAGGUUGCAGUGAGCCAAGAUCAUAGCACUGGACUCCAGCAUGGGCGACAAGUGGGAGACUCCAUCUCAAAAAAAAAAAAAAAGAAAGAAAGAAAAAGAUUGGCUAGACCCUGUGUGUGGCAUGACAUCCUAUUCCAACUAAACACAAUGUUCUAUUUUACAAAUAAGAAAACAAGCUAAGAGAAGUUAAUUGGUUUUCAAAAAGUCACACAGUACAGACAUAGCAGAGGAAGAAUGAGAACCUACAGCAGAGUUGAGAAGGUUCAACAGAAUAACGGGUCAUGUUUGGGCACUUGUAUUCUGGAGCUGGCACCUGGGUCCUGGCACUUAUUAGCUGAAUGUCCUUGGGUAAGAUAUUUAACUGCCCUGUGUCUCAGUUUACUCAUUUGUUCAAUGGGCAUUAUAAUAGUAUAAACAUCAGAAAGUUGUAGGGGGUUAAAUCUCUAAAGUGUUUAGAAUGCUUGCAACUUAUAACAUUUUAUAUGUGUGUUUAUUAAAUAAAUAAAAAUAAAUCUGACUUCAUGUCCAAAGUAUAUUUUUCAUACCCUGCAGCUGUCCUGUACCAGAAAUAUCUCUUCCCACAAGAUCUCUUUAACGACCUGGCAAUGUGUGUAAAACCUCACCUUACUCAAUUCUUAAAAUUACUCUGAUUUUCUAGCUUGGUGAGAAGUCUCUAAAUGCUUACUAUGAAUUAGUUACCUGAUAAUCUAUCCUUAGUAGAAGCUAUCUGCCGCAGCAGAUUAGGUCACUAGGGCUUCUUGAAGGGAGAAAGGAAUUAGAAAAAAAGCAUCGAGUGGAUGGAAAGAACCAGAAAGAAACAAACAAGGCAACACCUAUUAGUUUAUUCAUGGUUGACCCAAGGAAUAGAUUGAAAUACCAGAUGCACCUGAAAAAUAAUUUUUUCUCACUCUGGCACCCAAGCUGGAGUGCAGUGGGCUGGGUGGAGGGGGGAGGUCAUGGUUCACUCCAGCGUCAACCUCCCCAGCUCAAGCGGUCCUCCCACUCAGCUUCCCAGGUAGCAGGGACCACAGGCAUGUGCCACCACACUUGGCUACUUUUUUAAAAAAAUUUUUGGUAGAGACAGGAUCUGACUGUGUUCCCUAGGCUAGUUUCAAACUCCUAGACUCAAGCAAUCCUCCCGUUCGGCCUUCCAAAUUGUUGGAAUUACAGGUGUUAAUCACUGCACCUGGCCUGAUUUUUUAAUUAUCAAAUCAUGUUCAGAACUCACUUCAAUCCAAUUAACUGAGGAUUUCUGGAAAGGUUACCCAGGCAUCAGUAUUUUUUCACUGUGAUAAAAUACAUAUAAAAUGUACUAUAAUAAUUUACUUUAAUAAUUGUCUUGACAAUUUUUAAGUGUAGAGUUCUAUGGAAUUGAGUACAUUCACAUGGCUGUGCAACCAUCACCACCAUCCAUCUCUAGAACUCUUUUCAUCUUGCAAAACUUAAAUGCUGUGCCCGUUGAACAAUAACUUUCUCUUUUCUCCAUCUUCACCCUGACAACCACUAUUUUACUUUCUGUCCCUAUGAAUUUCACUACUCUAGGUACUUCACGUAAGUGAAAUCAAACAAUAUUUGUACUUAUGUGACUUGCUUAUUUCACUUAGCAUAGUAUCCUCAAGGUUCAUCCACGUUGUAGUAUGUGUCCAAGUUUUCUUCCUUUUUAAGGUGGAAAAUAUUGCAUUUUAUGUAUAUGAAUUUUACAUAUCCAUGCCUCCAUCGAUGGACACUUGGGUUGUUUCCCUCUUUGGCUAUUGUGAAUAAUACUGCUAUGAACACGGUGGGCAACUCCCUCUUCUAAACCUUGCUUUCAAUUCUUUUGGAUAUAUACCCAGAAGUGGAACUGCUGGAUUAUAUGGCAAAUUAUUUUUAAUUUUUCAAGGAUACAUCUUACUGUUUUCUAUAGUAACUACCAUUUUACACUGCCACCAGCAAUGCACAGGAGUUCCAAUAUCACUACAUUUCUUUCAAUACUUGUUAUUUUCAGGUUUUUUUCUUAGUAUCUAUUCUAAGGGGUGUGAGGUGGCUUCUCAUUGUGGUUUUGAUUUGCAUUUCUCCAAUGAUUAGUGAUAUUGGACAUCUUUUCAUGUGCAUAUUGGCCAUUUGUAUAUCUUUUAGGAAAAAUAUCAGUUCCAAUACUUUGCCCAUUUUUGAGAUGGGUUGUGUGGUUGUUGUUGAAUUAUAGCUUUUUAUGAAUUCUGUAUAUUAAUUCUUUAUCAGAUAUGCUAUUUGCAAAUAUUUUCUUCCAUUUUGUGGGUUGUCUUUUCACUCUAUUAAUUAUUUCCUUUGAUGCCUAGAGAUUUUUAUUUUUGAUGUAGUCCAACUUACUUUUUUUUCUUUUGUUGCCUGUGCCUUUGGUAUUUCCACUUUUUUUGGCUAUUGGACAUAAUGCUGCUAUGAACAUUUAUGUACAGGAUUUUUUUGAUGGAUAUGUGUUUUCAGUUCUCUUGGGUUUAUGCCUAGAAGUAGAACUGCUGCAUCAUAUGGUAGCUCUGUGUUUAAGUUUCUGAGGAACUGCAAAAAUGUUUCCAAAGUGGCUACACCAUCUUAUACCUUACCAACAAUAGAUAAGUGUUAUAUAUUCUCCACAUCUUUACCAACACUUGCUAUUUUUCAUCUUUUAGAUUAGAGAUAUCUUGGGGAUGUGAAGCAGUAUCUCCUUGUGGUUUUGAUUUGCAUUUCCCUAAUGACUGAUCAUGUCAAGCAUUUUUCAUGUGUUUAUUAGCCAUUUGUAAUCUGCUUUAGAAAAAUAAUUCUUAAAUUUUUUUCUCAUUUUUAAGUUGUGUUGUCUUUUUAUUGAGUUGUAAAGGUCCUUUAAAUACUCUGCAUAGAAGUCCUUUAUCAGAUAUAUGAUCUGCAAAUAUUAUUUUCCUUUUUGCUUUUUGCCUUUUCAUUUGUAAAAUUGUAUCUUUAGAAACACAUUUAACUUUUUUUUAUUUUGAGGAAGUCAAAUUUAUAAUUUGCUGUCAUUUGUAUUUUGGUGUUCAAUGCCUGAUCCAGGGUCAUAAAAAUGUGCACAUAUGUUUUAUGCUAAGAUUUUUAUAGUUUUAGCUCUUAAGGUUUUGAUCAAUUUUGAGUUAAUUUUUUUCUAUGAUAUGAGGAACUGGGCCAACCUCAUUCUUUUGCAAAUGAACCUCAUUCUUUUGCAUAUUUUGCAGUUUUCUGAGCAUCAUUUGUUGAAAAUACUGCCCUUUCCCCAUUGGUCUUGGAGCCUUUGUCAAAAAUGAUUUGACCAUACUAUAUGCAAGCAUUUAUUUCUGGACCCUCUAUUCUAUUCCAUUGGUCUGACUUUAUGCCAAUACUACACUGCCUUGAUUAUGAAGCUUCAUUGUAAGUUUUGAAAUCAGGAAAUCUGAAACUGCAACUUUAUUCUUCUUUUUCAAUAUCAUUUUGGUUAUUUAGAAUCCCUUGAGAUUCUAUAUGAAUUUUAGAGGGAUUUUUCUAUUUCUGAAAAAAAAUGUCAAUGAGAUUUUGAUAGGAAUUGCAUUGAACCUAUAGAUCACUUCGGGUAAGUUAGUUUUUCUAUAUGGUGUGAGAAACAGAUACGCCAUUUUUUUGCAUGUGGAUAUCCAAUUCUUGCAGCACCAUUUGUUAAAAAUACUAUUUUUUUCCACAUUGAAUUCUGUUGUCACCCUUGUCAAAAAAUAAAUUAAUCAUAAAUGAAAGGGUUACUUCUGGACAUUUAAUCUGAUCCCAGUUAUUUGUUUUUAUGUUGGUGUCGUAAAGUCUUUAUUACUAUACCUUUGUAUUAAGUAUGGAAAUGCGGAAGUGUGACUCUUCCAACUUUGUUCUUCUUUUUCAAGAUUUUUUGGCUAUUCUGGGUUACUUGCAUUGCUAUAUAAAUUUUAGAACCAUACUGUUUAUUUUCCCAAAAACAUUUCUGGGUUUUUCAGUAAAGUUUUUGUUUUGUUUUGUUUUGUUUGUUUGUUUGGAGAUGAUGUCUCGCUAUGUUGCCCAGGCUGGGCUUGAACUCCGGGACUCAAGGGAUCCUCCCACCUCAGCCUCUUGAGUAGCUGAGAUUACAAAGAGCACAGAAGCUUUCAGGGUGGAGAGUCAGGACAGGUUCUAUGGACAUAUGGAGCUCCCAGGGGGGCUUGUGCAGGACUCAAGGAAAUGUCCAGCUUAACCUGCUGGGCACAACAAUUUUGCUGCUUCAACCCAUCUGCUAUGGAAAAUGAGGAGCCAACAAAAAAGGGAGAAACAGAGGUGAAGGCACCUGAUAAUGAAAGCUUUAAGAAAGGGAAGGGGUUCUUCCUCCCUACUGGACCACAGGCGUGUCUCAGCAUUGGGAAGGGUCCUAGGAUGCAUUGUAAAAGAAAGUCUGUAAUUUUGGUGCAUCAAGGAACAAAAGUGUGGAAACAUCCAGCCUGUGGCUGCUGGACACUCCCCUUCUUCCUUCUCACCAUACUGUCUGUAAUAAAGAAUAAAGUGUUAUUUAAUAUUCUGAGUGUACAGUCCUAUUUUUUCUUAACCUGGCAAACCAGAAACAGCAACUAAUAUUCCUGGUUCUCUUUUUACCUUUCACAAGAUCUAUAUCUACCUUAGAGGCUUCAGGGAACAAGAACAGCCUGGAUAGUUUAAACCUAGAGUUAAACUACUCGAGGCAUUUUAAGGUACCGCUACUUCACUAUAUAUAAA